CUUGAUUAAAACGCGGGGAAAGCUGUCGAUGACGGAUGGACCCGCGGUGCAUUAGCUAGAUGGGAAACCAACGGCUUACCACGGCGAUGAUGCAUAGCCGAGUUGAGACACUGACCGGCCUCAUUCGGACUGAAACCCCGCCCGAACUCCUACGGGGGGCAUGAGGAGGGAAUCUUUGACAAUGCGCGAAAGCCUGAUGGAGCAACGCCGCGUGAGUGGAUAAUGGUUUCGGAUCGAAAAGCUCUGUUGUUGGUGAAGAAGGAUAGGGGUAGCCACUGGCCUUUAUUUGACAGUAAUCAACCAUAAAGUCACGGCUAACUACGUGCCAGUAUCAGCGGUAAUACGUAGGUGGGUAGCGUUGUCCGGAUUUAUUGGGCGUAUAGCGAGGGCAGGUCGAGUAUAGUUUUGAUGAAAAGCCCUCGACUCAACCAAGUAACUGCAUCGGAUACUGUAUUUCCUGAGAAGAGAAGAGGACAUUGGAACUCCAUGUGUAGCGGGGGAUUGCUUACAUAUAUGGAAGCAACACCAGGGGGCGCAGGUAGCUCUCUGGUCUGUAUUGACCCUCACGCUCAAACGCAUGGUUAGAGAACCGGAUUAUCUAUGCUGGUACCCCAUGCCGUAAACGUUGAGUGCUAACAGCUGGGACGUUUCCGCAUCGUCAGAGAUGCAGCAAACCACAAGCACUCCGCCAGGGGAGUACAACCGCACAGUUGAAACUCA
RNAcentral lists this ribosomal RNA (720 nucleotides) under uncultured bacterium. Its description in RNAcentral is "bacterial SSU rRNA". It matches the Rfam family "Bacterial small subunit ribosomal RNA", at positions 185 to 903 of the family's 1533-position model. The record is from RNAcentral.